Molecule: ribosomal RNA, 1737 nt
Filed under: human gut metagenome
Description: bacterial LSU rRNA
Rfam family: Bacterial large subunit ribosomal RNA
Source: RNAcentral
AGCAGCCACUCAUUAAAAGAGUGCGUAAUAGCUCACUGGUCGAGUGACUCUGCGCGGAAAAUAUAACGGGGCUAAGCAUACAACCGAAGCUUGGGAUUGUCUAAAGACAGUGGUAGGGGAGCGUCGUGUAUGGGGUGAAGUCGCAUCGGAAGGAGCGGUGGACUGUACACGAGUGAGAAUGCCGGAAUGAGUAGCGAGAAUUAUGUGGGAAUCAUAAUGGCCGAAAAUCUAAGGUUUCUUGGGGAAGGUUCGUCCGCCCAAGGUAAGCCGGGAGCUAAGGCGAGGCCGCAAGGCGUAGUCGAUGCACAUACGGUAAAGAUUCCGUAGCCGCCGAACUUUAAGUCAGAGGGACACUUGCAGAUAGCGGAACCCAGCCGUUGGUUGAGCUGGGCGAAAGGGACUGAAAUUAGUAGGGAAGUCCGCGAUGCUGAAAGGCGAGAAAAGCUCUGAUGGAUACUAAGGCGCCCGUACCGCAAACCGACACAGGUAGAUGAGGAGAGAAUCCUAAGGCCAACGGGAGAAGGGUUGUUAAGGAACUCGGCAAAUUGACCCCGUAACUUCGGAAGAAGGGGAGCCCCGAAAGGGGCCGCAGUGAAUAGGCCCAAGCAACUGUUUACCAAAAACACAGGUUUAUGCUAAAUCGAAAGAUGACGUAUAUGAGCUGACGCCUGCCCGGUGCCGGAAGGUUAAGAGGAGAGCUUAGAGGCAACUCGAAGGUUUGAAUUGAAGCCCCGGUAAACGGCGGCCGUAACUAUAACGGUCCUAAGGUAGCGAAAUUCCUUGUCAGGUAAGUUCUGACCCGCACGAAUGGCGUAAUGAUUUGGGCACUGUCUCGACAGCCCGCCCGGCGAAAUUGUAGUACUGGUGAAGAUGCCAGUUACCCGCAACUAGACGGAAAGACCCCAUGGAGCUUUACUGCAGUUUAAUACUGGGAAUCGGUAAUGCAUGUACAGGAUAGGUGGGAGACAUGGAAGCAUGGUCGUCAGGUCAUGUGGAGUCACCGGUGGGAUACCACUCUUGUAUUGCUGAUUUCCUAACCUGCGGCCGUGAAUCCGGUCGGGGGACACUGUUAGACGGGCAGUUUGACUGGGGCGGUCGCCUCCAAAAGAGUAACGGAGGCGCUCAAAGGUUCGUUCAGCACGGACGGAAAUCGUGCAUUGAGUGUAAACGCAUAAACGAGCCUAACUGCGAGACCGACGGGUCGAGCAGUAACGAAAGUUGGAGUUAGUGAUCCGGUGGUAUGUGAGUGGAAAUGCCAUCGCUCAACGGAUAAAAGCUACCCUGGGGAUAACAGGCUGAUCUCCCCCAAGCGUCCACAGCGACGGGGAGGUUUGGCACCUCGAUGUCGGCUCGUCGCAUCCUGGGGCUGUAUUCGGUCCCAAGGGUUUGGCUGUUCGCCAAUUAAAGCGGCACGCGAGCUGGGUUCAGAACGUCGUGAGACAGUUCGGUCCCUAUCUGUUGCGGGCGUAAGAGAUUUGAAGGGAGCUGUCCUUAGUACGAGAGGACCGGGAUGGACGUACCUCUGGUGCACCAGUUGUCCUGCCAAGGGCAUAGCUGGGUAGCUAUGUACGGACGAGAUAAACGCUGAAAGCAUCUAAGCGUGAAACUCCCCCUAAGAUGAGAUCUCUCAUCCUUUAUGGAGUAAGGGCCCAGAAAGACGAUCUGGUUGAUAGGCCGGAGGUGGAAGUGCAGCAAUGUAUGGAGCUGACCGGUACUAAUAGCCCGAGGGCUUGACCU